GGCGAUUUCUGGUCUAGGGUGAGAGAUAACAGAAAGUAACAAUGGAGGCUCUCGCAGUGCUCGCAGGCACUCAAGGAACGGAAAGGAAAUUGCACAUUUCACCCGUGACUGCAUAGGCAAACGAGAACAGCAAGUCUCUGCUUUCAGCUGGAAUGUUAUCAACUUCGGUCACGCUGAUUAUCUCAGGCUGAUCAGGAAGGCUGGUACCAGGAGUGAGUGACUAAAUGAAGAAAUUACUAAUUAACAAAUGCUUGGGUGGACAAUCCUUCAAAAUUUAGGAUCAAUGGGAGGAGACAGAAGGAGUCUUGGGAGGAUUUUUAAAAUAUGCCAGAGCUGGCUGGGUACAGUGGCUCACACCUGUAACCUGAGGACUUUGAGGUGGAGACGGGCAGACCACCUGAGCUCAGGAGCUCAAGACCAGCCUGGGCAACAUGGCAAAACCCUGUCUCUACUAACACUAUAAAAAGUUAGCUGGGCGUGUUGGUGCAUGCUGUAGUCCCAGCUACUCAGGAGGCUGAGCCACGAGAAUCGCUUGAACCUGGGAGAUGGAGGUUGAAGUGAGCCAAGAUCGCACCAUUGCACUCCAGCCUGGGGAAAAAAAAAAGCCAGGCCUCCUAAUGUACUCAUUUAAACAUCACUUGUGUCCACCUGGGUUCAGAAUUGCGCUGGACAUGGGAUACACAAAGUUUCAAUUGGCCUCUUGGUGCCAAAGCACCAUGGCGUGUUACACCUAUCAGAUCGGGCACACUGCCCCUUCUUCCCAACCUACGAGCUGAAAUGGCCAGCACUGCGCCUUCCAGAACCCAGCGUAGAUGCACAGCUGCCACGGAGGUAGGAAGAAUGAUUCGUUUGCCACCAAAAGCCCAGUUUCUCCAACAGGUAAGUC
Molecule: long non-coding RNA, 886 nt
Filed under: Homo sapiens (human)
Lineage: Eukaryota; Metazoa; Chordata; Mammalia; Primates; Hominidae
Description: non-protein coding lnc-GALNTL5-2:9
Source: RNAcentral